RNAcentral lists this ribosomal RNA (598 nucleotides) under Haemophilus haemolyticus. Its description in RNAcentral is "bacterial SSU rRNA". It matches the Rfam family "Bacterial small subunit ribosomal RNA", at positions 88 to 682 of the family's 1533-position model. The record is from RNAcentral. Lineage: Bacteria; Pseudomonadati; Pseudomonadota; Gammaproteobacteria; Pasteurellales; Pasteurellaceae.
CUGACGAGUGGCGGACGGGUGAGUAAUGCUUGGGAAUCUGGCUUAUGGAGGGGGAUAACUACGGGAAACUGUAGCUAAUACCGCGUAGAAUCGGAAGAUGAAAGUGCGGGACCGCAAGGCCGCAUGCCAUGAGAUGAGCCCAAGUGGGAUUAGGUAGUUGGUGGGGUAAAGGCCUACCAAGCCUGCGAUCUCUAGCUGGUCUGAGAGGAUGGCCAGCCACACUGGAACUGAGACACGGUCCAGACUCCUACGGGAGGCAGCAGUGGGGAAUAUUGCGCAAUGGGGGGAACCCUGACGCAGCCAUGCCGCGUGAAUGAAGAAGGCCUUCGGGUUGUAAAGUUCUUUCGGUAUUGAGGAAGGGAUGUGUGCUAAUAGUACAUAUCAUUGACGUUAAAUACAGAAGAAGCACCGGCUAACUCCGUGCCAGCAGCCGCGGUAAUACGGAGGGUGCGAGCGUUAAUCGGAAUAACUGGGCGUAAAGGGCACGCAGGCGGUUAUUUAAGUGAGGUGUGAAAGCCCCGGGCUUAACCUGGGAAUUGCAUUUCAGACUGGGUAACUAGAGUACUUUAGGGAGGGGUAGAAUUCCACGUGUAGCGGU